AGCUAUACAUGCAAGUCGAGCGAGCCGAACUAAUUGAUUACCUUCGGGUAUGAAGUUAGGGAAGCGAGCGGCGGAUGGGUGAGUAACACGUGGGUAACCUACCCUAUAGUCUGGGAUACCACUUGGAAACAGGUGCUAAUACCGGAUAAAAGGAGAGAUCACAUGAUUUCUUUUUGAAAGGCGGCGUAAGCUGUCGCUAAAGGAUGGACCCGCGGUGCAUUAGCUAGUUGGUAAGGUAACGGCUUACCAAGGCAACGAUGCAUAGCCGAGUUGAGAGACUGAUCGGCCACAUUGGGACUGAGACACGGCCCAAACUCCUACGGGAGGCAGCAGUAGGGAAUCUUCCACAAUGGACGCAAGUCUGAUGGAGCAACGCCGCGUGAGUGAAGAAGGUUCUCGGAUCGUAAAGCUCUGUUGUUGGUGAAGAAAGAUAGUGAGAGUAACUGCUCAUUAUUUGCCGGUAAUCAACCAGAAAGUCACGGCUAACUACGUGCCAGCAGCCGCGGUAAUACGUAGGUGGCAAGCGUUGUCCGGAUUUAUUGGGCGUAAAGCGAGCGCAGGCGGAAAGAUAAGUCAGAUGUGAAAGCCCUCGGCUUAACCGAGGAAUAGCAUCGGAAACUGUCUUUCUUGAGUGCAGAAGAGGAGAGUGGAAUUCCAUGUGUAGCGGUGGAAUGCGUAGAUAUAUGGAAGAACACCAGUGGCGAAGGCGGCUCUCUGGUCUGUAACUGACGCUGAGGCUC
RNAcentral lists this ribosomal RNA (740 nucleotides) under uncultured bacterium. RNAcentral describes it as "bacterial SSU rRNA". It matches the Rfam family "Bacterial small subunit ribosomal RNA", at positions 47 to 754 of the family's 1533-position model. The record is from RNAcentral.